RNAcentral lists this transfer RNA (90 nucleotides) under Alphaproteobacteria bacterium. RNAcentral's name for it is "tRNA-Ser". It matches the Rfam family "tRNA". From Rfam's summary of the family: Transfer RNA (tRNA) molecules are approximately 80 nucleotides in length. Their secondary structure includes four short double-helical elements and three loops (D, anti-codon, and T loops). Further hydrogen bonds mediate the characteristic L-shaped molecular structure. tRNAs have two regions of fundamental functional importance: the anti-codon, which is responsible for specific mRNA codon recognition, and the 3' end, to which the tRNAs corresponding amino acid is attached (by aminoacyl-tRNA synthetases). tRNAs cope with the degeneracy of the genetic code in two manners: having more than one tRNA (with a specific anti-codon) for a particular amino acid; and 'wobble' base-pairing, i.e. permitting non-standard base-pairing at the 3rd anti-codon position. RNAcentral also lists the same sequence under 1 other name. The record is from RNAcentral. Lineage: Bacteria; Pseudomonadati; Pseudomonadota; Alphaproteobacteria.
GGAUGGGUGGCAGAGCGGUCGAAUGCGACGGUCUUGAAAACCGCUGAAGGGGCAACUCUUCCGGGGGUUCGAAUCCCUCCCCAUCCGCCA